CCCCUAGAUGUUCUGGGCCGCACGCGCGCUACGCUGAACAGUUCAACAAGUCUUAACCUUGGCCGAUAGGUCUGGGUAAUCUUUGAACGCUGUUCGUGAUUGGGAUAGACCUUUGCAAUUAUGGGUCUUCAACGAGGAAUUCCUAGUAAACGCAAGUCAUCAGCUUGCAUUGAUUACGUCCCUGCCCUUUGUACACACCGCCCGUCGCACCUACCGAUUGAAUGGUCCGGUGAAAUCUCGGGACGGCGGCUUGGUCGCUUGCGUCCGACUGCUGAAACUUGAUUAAACCAUNUNAUUUAUNGGAAGGUGAANUCGUANCA
RNAcentral lists this ribosomal RNA (320 nucleotides) under uncultured eukaryote. RNAcentral's name for it is "partial 18S ribosomal RNA". It matches the Rfam family "Eukaryotic small subunit ribosomal RNA", at positions 1470 to 1796 of the family's 1831-position model. The record is from RNAcentral.